Non-coding RNA from Dipodomys ordii (Ord's kangaroo rat), 46 nucleotides. The record is from Rfam. Lineage: Eukaryota; Metazoa; Chordata; Mammalia; Rodentia; Heteromyidae.
AGAAUGGCUUCUUUUGAAGCCAUCAAAUCUGACAAAUUAGAAGGAA